Molecule: long non-coding RNA, 1380 nt
Filed under: Lotus japonicus
Lineage: Eukaryota; Viridiplantae; Streptophyta; Magnoliopsida; Fabales; Fabaceae
Description: long non-coding RNA (LJAP_LNC000341)
Source: RNAcentral
GAGUUAGAAGAAGUAGACUUAUUUUUUCUUGAAAUACCCUGUCAAUGAUUUUUCAUUCGUAUGGGCAGACCUUCAAUUGUGAGUGUCUUUCUCUUUCGUCUUCUGUAUUCUCCUUGUAGAGUCCCAAAUCUCAAGUAUAGUAGUAGUAGAUGUUAAAUGGAGUAAGAUCUAAAAGCAAUUUUUUUAUUUUUGCAUAGAUCAAGAAUAACACCAAUUGUUGGAUGUUCAACUCAUUAUCAUUUGAGACAUUUAUUUAAGCUGCUAAAUCUUUAAGAAUUAGGACUUGGUUAGGGGAAAACUGGAAAACUGAGUGGGUAUUGGGUUUUCAGUUUUGAAUUUUACUUGUUCCUUUCCCUAAUGUGAUAUUUUGAACCUUUUCUUGUACUGUUAAGUUAAGUGUGGAGAAAGAUGCGACUCCUGUAACUUGAAUUUUACUUAGCUAUGUCUACAGAAGAUGAAGUAUGAGAAUGUGGGAUAUAUAUGCACUAUCAGAGAAAGGGAAUAUAUUCUCAUAGAAAAUCACAUGUCUAAUUAUAGUGUUCUGAACAACUCUAGUUGGUAUUUUCAUAUUAUCUUUUGCUUUUGUUUGUGAUUCUGUUAUUUUAGAUUAAGCAAAGCUCAUGUCUUGGUCUAUGCAAUCCAAGGAACUGUAGCUGAGGUAAACAUAAAACUUGUCUCUAUGGUGCUUAAUGUUGUCGUCAAGUUGUUGCUCACUAUUAGCCAAAGUACUGUUAGAACUCUAUCUAAUAUAUAUGUUUGAGGCUUUUUUUGUAGUACGAUCACCAUGAUCUAAAUUACUUUCCCCCUUUAUGGUAUUGUAAUUUUUCUUUUAACUGUCUUGUUUGCAUUUAUUUUUUUCUGUAGAAGGAAAGCUAUCCAAGUGUGCGGCCUUUUAUACUGUGGAGUGUGGACUAUAGGAUUCUUGUGAAAUUUUUGUUGAUCUGCAGGACUAUAAAUAUUUCAGUAUACUGAGAAUUUUCUUGAGCAUUUGAGGUUUACAUUAUUUUUGUUUGUAACAACUAACAAAUGAAUUUUUUGAUUGGCACUUGGAAGUUCUAAACUAAUAUGCAUUAGAGGAUUGUUUUACCAACCACCACUAAUUUCAUUUUAAUGCAUUUUUCUCCCUUGACAGAGAAAACAGGACGAAGCUAUCAAAUCAAAUGUAAGAUAUUCAUCUUUUGAGGUAUAUGUUACUCUUUACUAUAGUAGUUGCAUUUACUAUUUAGUUUUGGGUCUUGAUUAGUUUGCAAUGCUGGAUCAAUGUGUUCUUUUUUUUUCAUUGACAGAACAGAAGCAAAUAAUAUAACAAUCUAAUUAACAUAAAUAUCAGAUUAUGACCUGAAACCUUAAGGAUGUUUGGUCCGCCUGAUAGCCCNNNNN